Molecule: ribosomal RNA, 465 nt
Filed under: uncultured bacterium
Lineage: Bacteria
Description: partial 16S ribosomal RNA
Rfam family: Bacterial small subunit ribosomal RNA
Source: RNAcentral
GACGAACGCUGGCGGCGUGCUUAACACAUGCAAGUCGAACGGAAAGGCCCCCUUGUGGGGUACUCGAGUGGCGAACGGGUGAGUAACACGUGAGUAACCUACCCUUGACUUUGGGAUAACUUCAGGAAACUGGGGCUAAUACCGGAUAGGAGCUCCUGCUGCAUGGUGGGGGUUGGAAAGUUUCGGCGGUUGGGGAUGGACUCGCGGCUUAUCAGCUUGUUGGUGGGGUAGUGGCUCACCAAGGCUUUGACGGGUAGCCGGCCUGAGAGGGUGGCCGGCCACAUUGGGACUGAGAUACGGCCCAGACUCCUACGGGAGGCAGCAGUGGGGAAUAUUGCACAAUGGGCGGAAGCCUGAUGCAGCAACGCCGCGUGCGGGAUGACGGCCUUCGGGUUGUAAACCGCUUUCGCCUGUGACGAAGCGUGAGUGACGGUAAUGGGUAAAGAAGCACCGGCUAACUACGUG